Long non-coding RNA from Cygnus olor (mute swan), 1159 nucleotides. RefSeq lists it as uncharacterized. The record is from RefSeq and is a predicted model, not a curated record. NCBI's taxonomy places the organism in Eukaryota, Metazoa, Chordata, Aves, Anseriformes, Anatidae. The transcript has 3 exons.
GGACGUGUGGUCAUAUAUAAUGCAAAGAGUAAAUCAGAAUGAAAAUGCUGAAUAUUUGCUUUUGAUAAGAUUAUUGACAGCAUAUGCAUGAUUUUAUUGUGGAUUAAACAACAAGAUUGUAGAGAGCUAUAUGGAAUUGCUUUUUCACAAAUAUUCAACCAGUGGAGAAAGGUGAUAAUAGAACUGCAUCUCCUCUGUUUGAAGAUCACAGGUAGACUUUGGAAAUGAUGGUAAAUAAAUUAUAUUAACAAGUAUAAUCCACAAAUAAAGAAUGAAACAGCAUAGCACGCAGGUCUGUUUAAUAACUAACCAAAUAUAUAUAUAUAUAUAUAUAUAUAUACCUUUUCUGUUAGCAAAAGUUGCUAAAACAGAAAUUCUGACUGAUUUAAUUUAAUUUUAUUUGUUUUUGCAAAGGAAUGUUCUUGUUUGAUUCCCCACCUCCACCCCAGUAGUGGUACCCCUCCGUGCAGGUGGUUUAUAACGAAGAAAAGCUUUGGGGUGCAGCUUUGUGGCGCGUGCUUACUGCUGUCAGCGCCCAGUGAUGCUGUUUGGCCAUUAGGUGGCACACCGCAGUGGGAAGUGUUCUUGGGUACUUAAUACUGAUUUUUCCUUACCUCUUUAAAACUUGAGAAUAUUCCAGAAAAAAAGAAGAGAAAAUGCAACAAGCUGUAGGUUUAGCCUGCCAGGCGUUCAGCUCCUUGCCUUUCUGCACUGUAAGAUGUCCGUGAUAAGACAGCUGAAUGGGGAUAAACAGAGAGACACUAUAAUGUUUUCCUGGGUUUGUGAAGUGCUUGAGAAAGUUGGAUUCCUGCCCCCAGCUAAUGCAGAGAGAUGCACUGAUUCCUGUUGUGAGUGUGAACUGGAUGUCUGCCUGUUUUGCCCCAAAUACUUAAGCCAACCAUAGAGCAUCUCCAGGUAGGCCCUUAAAAGUCAGUGAUUUUGGGAUAGGCUUCUAGGUCCCCCAGAGAUGCUAUUUUAAUAUAAAGAGGAUUUUAUGAGAUGAAUUGUGAUAGAGAAAGCAGUAUAGUUCUUCUCCUGCCCUUUAGUUUAUUUUUGUUUUCUUUUUCUUUGUAAAUACUCAUUGUUACAGAAAGUAAACACCAGGACGUAGCAAGAUUCUGGUUUUGGUCCAAUUCUUAAUGUGUCUGUUGAUGAUCUG